AGUUAGCAUUAUACGGCGAAACUGCGAAUGGCUCAUUAUAUAAGUUAUCGUUUAUUUGAUAGCACCUUACUACUUGGAUAACCGUGGUAAUUCUAGAGCUAAUACAUGCUGAAAACCCCGACCUCUGGGAGGGGUGUAUUUAUUAGAUUAAAAACCAAUGCCCUCUGGGCUCUCUGGUGAUUCAUGAUAACUCGUCGAAUCGCACGGCCUUGCGCCGGCGAUGGUUCAUUCAAAUUUCUUCCCUAUCAGCUUUCGAUGUUUGGGUAGUGGCCAAACAUGGCUGCAACGGGUAACGGAGGGUUAGGGCUCGACCCCGGAGAAGGAGCCUGAGAAACGGCUACUACAUCCAAGGAAGGCAGCAGGCGCGCAAAUUACCCAAUCCCGACACGGGGAGGUAGUGACAAUAAAUACUGAUACAGGGCUCUUUUGGGUCUUGUAAUUGGAAUGAGUACAAUUUAAAUCCCUUAACGAGGAACAAUUGGAGGGCAAGUCUGGUGCCAGCAGCCGCGGUAAUUCCAGCUCCAAUAGCGUAUAUUAAAGUUGUUGUGGUUAAAAAGCUCGUAGUUGAACCUUGGGCCUGGCUGGCCGGUCCGCCUCACCGCGUGCACUGGUCCGGCCGGGCCUUUCCCUCCGCGGAACCCCAUGCCCUUCACUGGGCGUGGCGGGGAAACGGGACUUUUACUUUGAAAAAAUUAGAGUGCUCCAGGCAGGCCUAUGCUCGAAUACAUUAGCAUGGAAUAAUGAAAUAGGACGCGCGGUUCUAUUUUGUUGGUUUCUAGGACCGCCGUAAUGAUUAAUAGGGACAGUCGGGGGCAUCAGUAUUCAAUUGUCAGAGGUGAAAUUCUUGGAUCAAUUGAAGACUAACUACUGCGAAAGCAUUUGCCAAGGAUGUUUUCAUUAAUCAGGAACGAAAGUUAGGGGAUCGAAGACGAUCAGAUACCGUCGUAGUCUUAACCAUAAACUAUGCCGACUAGGGAUCGGACGAUGUUAUUACUUGACUCGUUCGGCACCU
RNAcentral lists this ribosomal RNA (1012 nucleotides) under Hirsutella eleutheratorum. RNAcentral's name for it is "SSU rRNA". It matches the Rfam family "Eukaryotic small subunit ribosomal RNA", at positions 68 to 1088 of the family's 1831-position model. Lineage: Eukaryota; Fungi; Ascomycota; Sordariomycetes; Hypocreales; Ophiocordycipitaceae. The record is from RNAcentral.